Molecule: ribosomal RNA, 301 nt
Filed under: uncultured bacterium
Lineage: Bacteria
Description: partial 16S ribosomal RNA
Rfam family: Bacterial small subunit ribosomal RNA
Source: RNAcentral
CAGUCGCCACGGGAAUACGAAGGGGGCUAGCGUUGUUCGGAUUUACUGGGCGUAAAGGGUGCGUAGGCGGAUUGUUAAGUCAGGGGUGAAAUCCCGAGGCUCAACCUCGGAACUGCCUUUGAUACUGGCGAUCUUGAGUCCGGGAGAGGUGAGUGGAACUGCGAGUGUAGAGGUGAAAUUCGUAGAUAUUCGCAAGAACACCGGUGGCGAAGGCGGCUCACUGGCCCGGUACUGACGCUGAGGCACGAGAGCGUGGGGGGCAAACAGGAUUAGAUACCCCCGUAGUCCCUGUCUCUUAUAC